AAGCGAAGGUCCCAGCAGGGAGGUAAGGACUCUAUAAUUGAGACCUCUCUAACAUCAAAUUUAACCCUUCGCAGAUGAAUAGCCGAACUAUUGGAUGCCAAAUCAUAAAUAUUUGGAUCAUCUUCGAACCCUUGGCAAAAUCUUA
Beta vulgaris subsp. vulgaris (sugar beet) is the source of this 145-nucleotide small nucleolar RNA. It matches the Rfam family "Small nucleolar RNA snoR145". The record is from Rfam. Lineage: Eukaryota; Viridiplantae; Streptophyta; Magnoliopsida; Caryophyllales; Amaranthaceae.